Long non-coding RNA from Rosa rugosa (rugosa rose), 1047 nucleotides. RefSeq lists it as uncharacterized. NCBI's taxonomy places the organism in Eukaryota, Viridiplantae, Streptophyta, Magnoliopsida, Rosales, Rosaceae. The record is from RefSeq and is a predicted model, not a curated record. The transcript has 5 exons.
AAUACUUUUGAACAAGUUCUAAUAUAUAGUCCUAAUUUUAAAAGGGCUUAAAGUUUAUUGAAAACGGCAGUAAUUUACCAAAAUAUCAAAAUUUAUUGCAUCAAGUUGACUCUCUGUAGAUUUAAAUUUAAAUUUAAAAUAUGUUUGAUAAUAGAUAGUGAUCAAUCCUGAAGCCUAAUGUAUUUCUUUUCUUUUCUUUUUUUGGACAAAACCCAAAGACACAAGGAACUGCUUAAUUUUUUGUUCUUUUUUAAGUAAUGAGUGUUUUAUUUCAAAGAAAAUAAAUGAGUGACAUUUUAUAAUUAUAGGAUAUGUCUGAUGGUGAAGGAUUUGACUAGAGGAUUAUCCAUCAUCAAUCAGAGAGACGACUCAGAAGAUGAAGACAGUGGUUCCUCUGAAAAUGAGGGCUAGCUCAACACCAGUAGAAAUGAUGGUUUGGCCAUUCAUCUGGUAAUGAGGAGGAAAGUGACUGUUCUGGACCUUGUGAAGAAGUCGAGGAAAGUGAUUCAUCUGAAGAUGUGGUUGGUCCUCGAAAUACAAUUGGUGCUGUUCCCUUGGAGUGGCAUCAGGAUUAGAAACAUAUUGGUUAUGAUCUUACAGGGAAGAAAAGAAGGAAAAAGAAGACAAAUUGCAAUCCUUUCUUGCUAGCGCUGAUGAUUCCAAAAAUUGGCACAAUUUUUUUGAUGAAUACAAUGAUGAGGAAGUAGAACUGACAAAAGUGGAGGGUCGUGCAAUAGAGGAGGCUGUUGGAAAUGAACAGAAGAGGUGUCUCCGGCAUCAGAGGAGUCCGAGCCUGUCAGCCUGAUGCUUUUGAGAGUUAUCAGGAUCAUUUCAACAGUCUUGAAUGAAAGGGAGGACUUCAGGAAGAAGUGCAAGGUGGUGGAGCAAAUAAAGGCCCCUGCUGAAGGAUGAUGAGGAGGCCAGGAUGUACAUGGGAGUUAAUGGAAAUUAGGAGACAAUGCUAGCAUCAGGGGUAAUUUCGUUGCUGUAGGAAAUGAUCUCCUAUCCCGGUUCUUAUGGACCUGCGACAGCCCUUUAUCUGAAUCU